This 1071-nucleotide long non-coding RNA is filed under the name Monodelphis domestica (gray short-tailed opossum). Its description in RNAcentral is "lncRNA (ENSMODG00000030942.2)". The record is from RNAcentral. Lineage: Eukaryota; Metazoa; Chordata; Mammalia; Didelphimorphia; Didelphidae.
AAAAAGGGAAACAUAUCAAGGGAGGGGAUAAGGGGGAUUGAUUUAAAGUAAAUUACUGGACUAAAAGGUAAAGCUGAAGGAAAAAAGGUUAGAAUUAGGGAAAAAUAUCAAAAUGCCAGGGAGUCCAAAAAUGACAGUCAUAACCUUGAACAUGAAUGGGAUGAACUCACCCAUAAAAAGUAGACGAAUAGCAGAAUAGAUUAGAAUCCAAAACCCUACCAUAUGUUGUCUUCAUGAAACACACAUGAGGCGGAUUGACACCCACAAGGUCAGAAUUAAAGGAUGGAGUAAGGCCUUCUGGGCCUCAACUGAAAGAAAGAAGGCAGGAGUGGUAAUGAUGAUAUCUGAUAAAGCCAAAGCAAAAAUAGACCUGAUCAAAAGGGAUAGGGAAGAUGAUAUAAUGGUCUACUUGAAGAAUCCUAGAGAAUCAACUAAAAAGGUAGUGGAAAUAAUUAACAACUUUAGCAAAGUUGCAGGGUACAAGAUCACUCACCUGGUACCAGUCCUGCCCACCUGGCCUGGCUACUGCUGCCUGCUUCUGCAUUCCUGCAAUCCAGACCUCUUCGACCCAGAUCCUCUUUCCUGGUCCCAACCCGCAGAGGCCCAGCAACUCUGGCCUCCUAGCCAGAUCGCAGAUCGCCCUAGGCUGCUGAUAGCAGACCCAAUUUCUUCAGGAUCAAAAACCAACUGGAAAAAAAACUGUUACCUUGUGAAAUUCAUUUGCUUGUACUCACAGUGGAUCAUGGCCAGAUAUGAAGAGGAAAUGGAUCUCAUUUUUGAUUUGCAACCUUGGAGUCAUCUUCCAUACGUUAAUCUCCCUGACCUUACAUACAAAAUUGCUUGCUAUAUAUUGUUGAAUCUAUCCCUAAAUCAUUUUCUCUGAAUGUUGUCAUCACCCUAAUUCAAACCUCCAUUAUCUCUUACCAAGAAUACUCCAAUAAUAUUCUCAGUGGUUUUUGUACCUUCACUCCUUCCUUUCUAUCCUCCCUUGAGUUGUUAAAAUUGUGUUCUUAAAACAAAUACAACUAAGUCAUUUACCUCCUCAAUAAAUUGCAAUGGGUUCCUAGAUCA